UGGGUCGGUCCGGAGUGGCUGGGUUACCAAAGCAACAACAACAGCAACAACAACAACAACAACAAUUCUCAUCAGCAGCAGCAGCAGCAGCAGCAAACCCAGCCACGCUAAUUUGACCGACCU
Molecule: small RNA, 123 nt
Filed under: Macrostomum lignano
Lineage: Eukaryota; Metazoa; Platyhelminthes; Macrostomidae
Description: Nematode sRNA ceN72-3_ceN74-2
Rfam family: Nematode sRNA ceN72-3_ceN74-2
Source: Rfam by way of RNAcentral